This 468-nucleotide ribosomal RNA is filed under the name uncultured bacterium. RNAcentral describes it as "partial 16S ribosomal RNA". It matches the Rfam family "Bacterial small subunit ribosomal RNA", at positions 28 to 507 of the family's 1533-position model. The record is from RNAcentral.
GACGAACGCUGGCGGCGUGCUUAACACAUGCAAGUCGAACGGAAAGACCCUGCUUUUGUGGGGUUCUCGAGUGGCGAACAGGUGAGUGACACGUGAGUAACCUGCCCUUGACUGUGGGAUAACUUCACGAGACUGGGGCGAAUACAGGAUAUGAUCUCCUGCUGCAUGUGGUGGGUUGGAGAGUUUCGGCGGUUGUGGAUGGACUCGCGGCAUAUCAGCUUGUUGGUGUGGUAGUGGCUUACCAAGGCUUUGACGGGUAGCCGGCCUGAGAGGGUGACCGGCCACAUUGGGACUGAGAUACGGCCCAGACUCCUACGGGAGGCAGCAGUGGGGAAUAUUGCACAAUGGGCGGAAGCCUGAUGCAGCAACGCCGCGUGCGGGAUGACGGCCUUCGGGUUGUAAACCGCUUUCGCCUGUGACGAAGCGUGAGUGACGGUAAUGGGUAAAGAAGCACCGGCUAACUACGUG